Molecule: ribosomal RNA, 253 nt
Filed under: uncultured bacterium
Lineage: Bacteria
Description: partial 16S ribosomal RNA
Rfam family: Bacterial small subunit ribosomal RNA
Source: RNAcentral
UACGGGGGGGGCAAGCGUUGUUCGGAAUUACUGGGCGUAAAGGGCGCGUAGGCGGCCUUCUAAGUCGGACGUGAAAUCCCCGGGCUCAACCCGGGAACUGCGUCCGAUACUGGAAGGCUUGAAUCCGGGAGAGGGAUGCGGAAUUCCAGGUGUAGCGGUGAAAUGCGUAGAUAUCUGGAGGAACACCGGUGGCGAAGGCGGCAUCCUGGACCGGCAUUGACGCUGAGGCGCGAAAGCCAGGGGAGCAAACGGG